RNAcentral lists this unclassified non-coding RNA (206 nucleotides) under soil metagenome. RNAcentral describes it as "partial contains 5.8S ribosomal RNA, internal transcribed spacer 2, and large subunit ribosomal RNA". The record is from RNAcentral.
AACAUCGCGCACCUGCGGGAACCUGCGGAGGGAUCAUUACCGAGUUUACAACUCCCAAACCCCUGUGAACAUACCAAUUGUUGCCUCGGCGGAUCAGCCCGCUCCCGGUAAAACGGGACGGCCCGCCAGAGGACCCCUAAACUCUGUUUCUAUAUGUAACUUCUGAGUAAAACCAUAAAUAAAUCAAAACUUUUAACAACGGAUCU